GGCUGUGAAAACUCGGGGCUCAACCCCGAGCCUGCAGUCGAUACGGGCAGACUAGAGUAUUGCAGGGGAGACUGGAAUUCCUGGUGUAGCGGUGAAAUGCGCAGAUAUCAGGAGGAACACCGGUGGCGAAGGCGGGUCUCUGGGCAAUAACUGACGCUGAGGAGCGAAAGCGUGGGAGCGAACAGGAUUAGAUACCCUGGUAGUCCACGCCGUAAACGUUGGGCGCUAGGUGUGGGGUCCCUUCCACGGGCUCCGUGCCGCAGCUAACGCAUUAAGCGCCCCGCCUGGGGAGUACGGCCGCAAGGCUAAAACUCAAAGGAAUUGACGGGGGCCCGCACAAGCGGCGGAGCAUGUGGCUUAAUUCGAUGCAACGCGAAGAACCUUACCAAGGCUUGACAUGCGCAGAAAUCCGGCAGAGAUGCCGGGUCCGUAAGGGCUGCGUACAGGUGGUGCAUGGUUGUCGUCAGCUCGUGUCGUGAGAUGUUGGGUUAAGUCCCGCAACGAGCGCAACCCUCGUUCUAUGUUGCCGCGCGUUAUGGCGGGGACUCAUAGGAGACUGCCGGGGUCAACUCGGAGGAAGGUGGGGAUGACGUCAAAUCAUCAUGCCCCUUAUGUCUUGGGCUGCACACAUGCUACAAUGGCCAGUACAAAGGGCUGCGAUACCGCGAGGUGGAGCGAAUCCCAAAAA
Molecule: ribosomal RNA, 688 nt
Filed under: uncultured bacterium
Lineage: Bacteria
Description: bacterial SSU rRNA
Rfam family: Bacterial small subunit ribosomal RNA
Source: RNAcentral